AUCUGGCCCAGAUGCUCUUUAAAAUUCAGGUUUGUCAUCCACCGCAGUAGAUGGCAGCAUUGCGUCGCUUCAAAUUUUGAGAUCAGCACAGUUUUUCAGUGGAAGAUAAAGAUUCGGUGAGCACUGUCGGAUUGUCAUCGUGAUGACAAGGAAGAGAAACGACAUCGCGGUGGAAGUGGGACAAGUGAAGGCCACUGUUCAGAUUGAGUCAAAAUGAAAAUGUCAAAUUUAGCUGUCAUAAGCCCCCUCUCGGUCUUAUUUCAUAGUUGAAGUGGCCAUCAAAG
Long non-coding RNA from Hippocampus zosterae (dwarf seahorse), 284 nucleotides. RefSeq lists it as uncharacterized. The record is from RefSeq and is a predicted model, not a curated record. Lineage: Eukaryota; Metazoa; Chordata; Actinopteri; Syngnathiformes; Syngnathidae. The transcript is spliced from 2 exons.